UAUAGAUGAUGAAGUAUGCACUGGGCUCUGAGCAGCUCUAUGAGCUUCUUUUUGAUGGACAUUGCAGCCUAGAAAGCUAAUCUGAUAUA
Molecule: small nucleolar RNA, 89 nt
Filed under: Prunus dulcis (almond)
Lineage: Eukaryota; Viridiplantae; Streptophyta; Magnoliopsida; Rosales; Rosaceae
Source: RNAcentral